Molecule: small nuclear RNA, 102 nt
Organism: Phocoena sinus (vaquita)
Lineage: Eukaryota; Metazoa; Chordata; Mammalia; Artiodactyla; Phocoenidae
Source: Ensembl
CAGCAAGCUACAGUGCUGGACUAAAAUUGGAGUGAUACAGAGAAGAUUAGUAUGGCCCCUGUGCAAGGAUGACACGCAAAUUCGUGAGCGUUCCAUAUUUUU